CCGGAAUGAAAGCCAACUGUUUUAUCAAGGUCGUUUUUUUCCAACUGCCUCUGACAGCCUCUGAUCUCCUGAAUGUGCUAUGCCAGGAAGAGCCAACUCCGAUAUUCCAAGCGUGCCUCAUCGUAAGAGAAAGGAGAUGUUACAGUUGUUUACAAGACUUUGCUUUAAAGGUCCUCGUGACAGGUCUGUUCUAAAUAAAGCGUCUCUUUUGCUUUUCAAAAUCGUUUGCAUGCACUUUUUCAGGAAUGAGUUUCCAUACGAUGUGCUGCUUGGACACUAGAAGUUAUCCUUGUACAGGAACUCCGAGGCGACUUGAAGGACACAUGUCCCUGCUGAGCCCUUGCCGCUCAGAGAUAAAAUCCCCACAGGUGAGCAUUGUCCUGCCCUCCUUUUCUGGCCAGAACUCUCGGUCCUGAUCCUGUCAGGUGCUUCUCUGAGGUCUGGGAACUGGUAGAGAGGUGAGAUGCGGCUAGAGGCCUGGUGUCAUGCAAGGAACCAGGCCAGCCUUGGGCUUGAUUAUCCCGAGGACCAAGCCCACACCCGCCAUGGACUGGAUUUGAGAACGUGAGUCUUUAAUGCUUGUGAGGUGUGGUUAUCUUACUAGGAAGACAGAGCCAGUCACACAUACUUCACAGGGUUCUGGUCAAGAUUAAAUUCUUCCCUUCCCUCCCAAUCCUCAGUUAGGUUUGCAUAACUGCUGUCCUGUUCAGGCUUCAGUCCGCAGCUGAGAUGUCACCUCUUCCAGAAAUCUUCCCUGUGUCUGGGUAGGAAUCCUCCUACGGUCCCUGAGAUCACUCUUUUCUCUGCCAUAGUGCUUUUCAUGCCAUAUCACAUUGUGUCUCUUACCCAUUAAACAGUAAGCUCUGUGAGGACAGGAAACAGAUAUAUCUUGCUUAUCUGAUGCACGUCAUAGUGUUGGGUACAUGGUCAGUUCUUGAUGCUUGUGGAAUGGAAUUGAAUUAAAGGUUAGUGUACAUGUGGCUAUGGUGGUAGCUCUUUUCCUAUCCUUGUUCUUUCUUUCUCUCUUCCUUUCUCUCUUUCUUUCUUUCUUUCUUUCUUUCUUUCUUUCUUUCUUUCUUUCUUUCUUUCAGUUUAUUUAUUGAUUUUGAGAGAGCAUGCAUGAGAGAGAGAGAGAGAGAAGAGGAGGAGGGACAGAAAGAGAGAUGGAGAGAGAAUCCUAAGCAGGCUCCACGCUGUCAUCACAGAGCCCAAUUCGGGGCUCGAACUCAUGGACCGUGAGAUCACAACCUGAGCCAAGAUUAAGAGUCACAUGCUUAACCCACUGACCUGCAUAGGUGCCCUCUACCCUUCCUCUUUCUUGAGCACAUCACAACUACAGGUGGACAAUUAAUAGUGGCCAUUUGCUUCCAGGGAUGGAUUUCUCUUCUGCCCACAUGGAUGCCUAAUGCUCAAACUGUCUGAUUUCUCUGUCUCCACAGGUUAUUUAUGCAUAACAUUGCUUCCUGUUUGCAUCGAACAGUCUCGCUUUGGACACUUCCUGAAACUUUAUUAAAAAUUGACUUUUCGAUGUGGCUCUGAG
This 1540-nucleotide long non-coding RNA is filed under the name Lynx pardinus (Iberian lynx). Lineage: Eukaryota; Metazoa; Chordata; Mammalia; Carnivora; Felidae. The record is from RNAcentral.